GGGUCGGUAGCUCAGUUGGUAGAGCAGCGGACUUUUAAUCCGCCGGUCGCGGGUUCGAAUCCCUCCCGACUCACCU
Molecule: transfer RNA, 76 nt
Filed under: Myxococcales bacterium
Lineage: Bacteria; Pseudomonadati; Myxococcota; Myxococcia; Myxococcales
Description: tRNA-Lys
Rfam family: tRNA
About the family: Transfer RNA (tRNA) molecules are approximately 80 nucleotides in length. Their secondary structure includes four short double-helical elements and three loops (D, anti-codon, and T loops). Further hydrogen bonds mediate the characteristic L-shaped molecular structure. tRNAs have two regions of fundamental functional importance: the anti-codon, which is responsible for specific mRNA codon recognition, and the 3' end, to which the tRNAs corresponding amino acid is attached (by aminoacyl-tRNA synthetases). tRNAs cope with the degeneracy of the genetic code in two manners: having more than one tRNA (with a specific anti-codon) for a particular amino acid; and 'wobble' base-pairing, i.e. permitting non-standard base-pairing at the 3rd anti-codon position.
Source: RNAcentral